CAGGGAGACAACACAAUGAUUUUGAUGCUGAGUGCUUUUAUUCUUAGGCCGAAAUCCUGUCAUCUUAGGUCGAUCGGUACCUCAGCUUUGAAGUCAAGAAUCAGCAGCAACGUUGAUUGCUUGAUGGAGAUUUUCAGUUCCUAAACUUUGUCUAGGUCACACCCCAAAAGGGAUGGGACUCCUGGGCCAUUAGCUCAGGUGGUUAGAGCGCACCCCUGAUAAGGGUGAGGUCCCUGGUUCAAGUCCAGGAUGGCCCAUUCGGUGUUGGGGGUUUAGCUCAGUUGGUAGAGCGCCUGCUUUGCAAGCAGGAUGUCAGGAGUUCGAGUCUCCUAACCUCCACUGACCGAACUUGAUUCCCAUCUCCAAAUUUUUGGAGUUGAGCUCGAUUGGAGUGUGAUUUAGAUGUGUCCGCUGGAUGACCCCAGCUUCCUGUCACUCCAAGUUUUAGGUUAAAGCCUUGAAUUUGGUUGAUAAGAUGCUGGGCUCGGAUCAAAUGAUCAAGCAAUUGAUGAUUUGAUUUGAAGUUCUAGCAGAACCUUGACAACUGCAUAGGUGAGUCUGGAAAAAACAAAGCAUCUUACAGAUGCAUUGUUUUGAAUCUGAUCUUCCGAAAGGGAGAUUGGAUCUAGAACAAUGAAAAUUCUUUUGAGCAAGAGCCGAGACUCUUGAGCGUUCUUUGAUUGGUGUCGAGCCAAUCAGAGUUUGAUCUUGUUUUUAGUAAUAAAAACUUGAGAAUCUGCUUUCAACGGCGGUAAGCGUUCAGGAGGUUAAUU
This 773-nucleotide transfer RNA is filed under the name uncultured cyanobacterium. Its description in RNAcentral is "partial 16S-23S ribosomal RNA intergenic spacer". The stretch from base 267 to 339 matches the Rfam family "tRNA". The record is from RNAcentral. Lineage: Bacteria; Bacillati; Cyanobacteriota.